Molecule: ribosomal RNA, 510 nt
Filed under: uncultured bacterium
Lineage: Bacteria
Description: bacterial SSU rRNA
Rfam family: Bacterial small subunit ribosomal RNA
Source: RNAcentral
GAUCCUGGCUCAGGAUGAACGCUAGCGACAGGCUUAACACAUGCAAGUCGAGGGGCAGCAUAAAAGCAGCAAUACUUGGUGGCGACCGGCGCACGGGUGAGUAACGCGUAUGCAACCUACCUAUCAGAGGGGAAUAACCCGGCGAAAGUCGGACUAAUACCGCAUAAAACAGGGGCACCGCAUGGUGAUAUUUGUUAAAGAAAUUCGCUGAUAGAUGGGCAUGCGUUCCAUUAGGUAGUUGGUGAGGUAACGGCUCACCAAGCCGACGAUGGAUAGGGGAACUGAGAGGUUGGUCCCCCACACUGGUACUGAGACACGGACCAGACUCCUACGGGAGGCAGCAGUGAGGAAUAUUGGUCAAUGGGCGGGAGCCUGAACCAGCCAAGUCGCGUGAAGGAAGAAGGAUCUAUGGUUCGUAAACUUCUUUUGCAGGGGAAUAAAGUGCAGGACGUGUCCUGUUUUGUAUGUACCCUGAGAAUAAGGAUCGGCUAACUCCGUGCCAGCCGCCGC